Molecule: ribosomal RNA, 504 nt
Filed under: uncultured bacterium
Lineage: Bacteria
Description: bacterial SSU rRNA
Rfam family: Bacterial small subunit ribosomal RNA
Source: RNAcentral
CGUUAGCGGCGCGCUUAACACAUGCAAGUCGAACGAGAAAGGGCUUCGGCCCCGGUACAGUGGCGCACGGGUGAGUAACACGUAGGUAACCUGCCCUUGAGUGGUGGAUAACAUUCCGAAAAGGAGUGCUAAUACAGCAUAAGACCACGGUUCCAUCAAGGAACAGGGGUCAAAGCGGGCCUCUUCAUGAAAGCUCGCGCUUGGGGAUGGGCCUGCGGCGCAUCAGCUAGUUGGUGAGGUAAUGGCUCACCAAGGCUAAGACGCGUAGCUGGUCUGAGAGGAUGAUCAGCCACACUGGAACUGAGACACGGUCCAGACUCCUACGGGAGGCAGCAGGUGGGGUAAUUUUGCGCAAGUGGGACGAAAGCCUGACGCAGCGACGCCGCGGUGGGUGAUGAACGGCCCGUCGGGUUAGUAAACGCCCUGUGGGGAGGGAUGAAUAAGGUAUGGCUAAUACCUAUACUGAUGACAGUACCUCCUUAGCAAGCACCGGCUAACUCUGUG